RNAcentral lists this long non-coding RNA (1402 nucleotides) under Heterocephalus glaber (naked mole-rat). Its description in RNAcentral is "lncRNA (ENSHGLG00100047448.1)". Lineage: Eukaryota; Metazoa; Chordata; Mammalia; Rodentia; Bathyergidae. The record is from RNAcentral.
CCUGCUGUGACAGGCUCAGUUCUCUCGGAGAUGCUUCUGCCUCUGCUUCCCAGAGUCAGGCACAGCCCGGCCGCACUCAAGGUCACCAGGGGUCAGGACUGGAGCCCGGCCUUCCCGUGCCCCAGUGCUCUCGCCUCCCUCCUGGAAGGGGGACGUGUGGUGCUGAGGUUCUGCCCCAACUGCUUGCUGGCGUAGCUCAAGGGAGGACAGACUUGGCCUUGGUCCCGAGAGACACGGAGGAUGUGUCUCAGGGUCCUGGGGCCCGCGGCCACCCCCAGUGCCCCCACCACCUUCCAGAAGACUCCCCAGGGCGCAACCAGCCAGGAAGCACCCAGGACAGGCAAGGCAGGGCUGGAACUGCUGCCCAGCCUGUCGGCAGCAGGGGCCCCUCGGAGGCUGAGGUGGGAGGGCUGGGCCAGGCCCCUCCCGGCACUCGGCCUGAGAGGGGAAGGCGGGAGGCAGCAGGUGCUGUGGCCACACAGGCUGCUGCAGCUGCCUCCUGCUGUCCCAGGGCAGGGGACACCGAGGCCUGGGCCGGGCCCUGUCCCCAGCAGCAGCACCUCCUCACAGAGCACCCGACACUGUGGUCACCUCGCGUGUAAACCUCUCCAGGCUCCAUUGCUCCCAGGGUGAGGCCAGGCUCCCCAGCCGUGGCCCUGCCCGGUGUCCAGGUGACCUGGGACAAGGUGGCUUUGCACACGCUGCUCUGUCUCUGUCCCCUGCACCCUUCCCUCCUCCCCCGCCUCGUUUCUACCUGGAGCAGGUGGGCUCUGCUCCUCCCCUUCACCUGGGUGCAGGUGGAUCCUUCAAACCUCACCUCCCAGCUCCCUGGAUGCCCAGAGGGGACCGAGGGACAAGCCCCCCACACCUGUCUGUCUGUCUCUCUCCUCCCUCCCUCCUUCCCCACCUCAGGCAGCGUCUGCUUGGUGAAUCCUCAUGUCUGUGGUCCCAGCUUAGGAGCCGGCUCCUCUUCCUCUGUCCAGCCCACCCAGGGCGGCAGCAGCUUUGUGUCAUUCUUUCACCUUUUCAUCCUAGGCACUGAAUCCAGGACCUUUGCACUGAGUUACAUCUACAGCCCUUUUUUAUUUGGAGACAGGGUCUCAUGAGUCACUAAGUUGCCCAGGCUGGGCUUGAGUCAGUGAUCCUCCUGCCUCAGCCUCCCAGAGUGCUGGGAUCACAGGUGACUGAGUACACUGCUCAGAGAAGCUCCCCAUUCAUUCAUUGCACUGAGAUUCUUCAGCGUCUGGUGGCACCAGAUGGGCAGAUGGUGGCGGCCGGGAGUGAGGAUGACGGGCCAGCUGGUGCGGCGAGGGCAUCUACAGUUCCACCUGUUAGGGAGGCUGUAGCAGGAGCAUCACUCGAGCUCAGGAGUCUCAAGCCAGCCUGGAUAACAGACUAAGAG